This is a long non-coding RNA of Oreochromis niloticus (Nile tilapia), 908 nucleotides long. RefSeq lists it as uncharacterized. The record is from RefSeq and is a predicted model, not a curated record. The transcript has 3 exons. Lineage: Eukaryota; Metazoa; Chordata; Actinopteri; Cichliformes; Cichlidae.
CUCUCCUAGCUCUCGAAUCAGAGGUUGGUUAGAAUCACGGGCAUUUUCCCGAUGGACCGACGCACUUCUGGGCCGAUGGACUCUGCGCACCCGUUUUCAUUGCUGACACUGUGAUGCCCAAUCAGAUCUCUUAAGUGCGACCGUGUAGAAAAAGUUAAGUGUGGCAGAAGUGGCCAAAAGGUGGAGCUGAAAAGCUGCUGCUGCACCAGCUGUGGAGAAGUGAGGAAGAGACGGAGGAAGGUGAAAUAAACAUGAUAAGGAAAUAGAUGGAGGAACAUAAUUAGCAAGAGAGAGAUUCAAGGAUUCAGGGGAAAUGAAUGGCUGCUUUGACCACGAGCCUCUGAUGACAGCUAUGACAGCUUUGAAUUACUGUCACAUGCUGCAGUGCAACUAAGGACUAACCCAACAACGACCUGAGGAAAACCUGCUUCAGUAUCUAUAAUCAAAGUGAAAUAUAUGCAUAUAUAUCAUCUUACAUAUACGAUCAUGGUGGGCUGUCCUUCAGCCCAGCCCUAAGGGCUAAGUUGCAGUGACGUCACUGGAGUUGCUGUAGAAGAAAGGAGACGGGGAUUAUUCCAGGGGGUCCAAACAAACAAAGUCCAGCUGGAGAGGAGAUCAUCGGAGGGCGAGCAGGCUGGUGAGUAAGCGGGGUGAGUGUACCAGGGAGAGCCUCCAGGCGAGGUGGACCAGCUUGACAGAGACAGGUAAGUGAUUUGAGUGGGUAUUCCACACCUCAGCCACAGGAGUUCACACACACUGUGGAGACAGACAGUCUGGCAGAGACUGGCAGCUGGAGCUGGUCCUUGAAUUCAGGUUGGUCGUGAGGCUGAUGAAAACGAGGCGUGGAAAGUCUGUGCUCCACCCAAAAGCCUCUGCUUGGCUCCUCCUGGACUGUUACAGACUCCAAA